Neogale vison (American mink) is the source of this 838-nucleotide long non-coding RNA. RefSeq lists it as uncharacterized. The transcript has 3 exons. The record is from RefSeq and is a predicted model, not a curated record. Lineage: Eukaryota; Metazoa; Chordata; Mammalia; Carnivora; Mustelidae.
GACACCGGGCACAGGAAGGAAUAAGUGCACUUUCUAAUGCGACUCGGCCUGGGUUUCUGUCCCCUGUACCCGCGAGACCACACACUCUGUCAGGAGACUCAGGACACAUGCGAUCCCUGUCCGGGCUGCUCCGGCCAUCCCAGCUGGAGAGGCCAGGAGGAAAGCAGAAGGCGGGCGGCUUUUGCCUUUUGGAGCAAGUGACUGGAGCAAGUCACCAUUUGCCCCAAGUGGGGCCUUUGGCACCUCCACAGUCCUCUUGACUGGAACACAAAACCCCGGUCUUUUAGCCCUAACCAGAAGCGAAGCACCGAUACGUGUCACAACUUGGAUGAGCUCGAAAGCAGGGGCCCCAUCGCGGCUGGCUAGGACCCGCCGGCUUCAGCCCCUUUAAGACGACCUUGGAGGACCCUUUUUUUCAAAGCCCGGGCGACUCUCUGGCCCCCGCCUCUAUGGUGCGUCGGCACUUCCGGCCGGAAGUGCGUGUGGCGCGCGGCUUCGGCGCAGGGGGCGUGGAGUGAGCGGAGGCGCGCGCUUCCUCGUGGGGUUCGUCAGAAAACGAGAACUUCCAGCCCCCGGCGGUGAGACGCAGGCAGGUCGGGCGGGGCGAGCCCUCCGCGCUCGGGGCGGGAGUCCAGGUGAGCUCGCGGGAAGAUCUGUGUGCGGGGUGAAUGGUUUCUUUCCUGCCUGCUUCCGUGUACCUGAAGUGUAAUUGUUGGGGGCUUGGAACUUUCCAGCUUCCUUGGGUUUCAUUUACUCAACCAUGUAGCUUCUGAAUGCCAACCUGCUGAAGACCCUGUUUUGUAUGGAUACAAAUAAAAGGGGUCAGUCCCCAAGGAGA